This 61-nucleotide small nucleolar RNA is filed under the name Pteropus alecto (black flying fox). RNAcentral's name for it is "Small nucleolar RNA SNORD58". It matches the Rfam family "Small nucleolar RNA SNORD58". From Rfam's summary of the family: snoRNA U58 is found in introns 1, 3 and 6 of the ribosomal protein RPL17 gene in humans. U58 is a member of the C/D class of snoRNA which contain C (UGAUGA) and D (CUGA) box motifs. RNAcentral also lists the same sequence under 1 other name. The record is from Rfam by way of RNAcentral. Lineage: Eukaryota; Metazoa; Chordata; Mammalia; Chiroptera; Pteropodidae.
CUACAUUGAUGUGUUUCAUAGGACACUUUUGGAGUUACUGUGAAAAUUAAUUCUGACCAGC